UGUUUUGAUGAAAUUAUGAAAAUAUAUAGAUUAUCGGACGCCUACAGCAAGAAUGCCGAGAUGAGUUAAUCAAUGGACAGCAUGCAUGAAUGCGUCGAAGCAAAAGCCAGGAAGAUAAUCCCUUCCAGAGAAAAAAAAAAGGAAUGUAGACAGAUGGUUAGAUAAGAUCACUCCCCAACAGGUUUCCCCGAAACAAGAGACUCUGUUCCGAUUCUACCGGACGCGAACCGCUAGCGCGCACCCAGAUCAAAUGACAAGCGCGCGCGGCGGGCGAUUGAACUACGGCUUGGGCUCCCCGGGCCCGGCGGCGUCCGUCUCCGCCAGCGCCGCCUUCAGCGCGACGAUCUCCUCCUUGGUCCUGGCGAUGUUCUUCUCCAGCUCGGCUUUCUCCGCCUGCUCCCUGGCGCGCGCCUCCUCCGUCAUCUCCACGGCCACGGCGGCUCGCCCGAAUCUCGGACGGUGGGAUGUCGACGACGACCCUCCGGCCGCUGCAGCGCUGCCUUGACCUCCUGACGCUGGAACCGCCGGGGAUGCUCCAUUCGAGGCCAACAUGGUUACGGGUUUAAUUAGCUAACAGAGCGAGUGAGUGUGUGCAGCGGCGGGAUGGAGGUGGUUGACUGGUUGUUUGCCUCUUGCCGCUCUGCGAUGGAUGUCUACAGACUACUGCCUUGUCCCGUAGUACCUCCCACGCUCCUCCAUUUAUAGGCGUUUCUUCCUGGGGUCCUUUGUUGUUGUUACCUGUCAUCGUUUCCUCUUUUUUUUUUUUGCGAGAUUACCAUUAGUUUUUAGAAUUCGAGUAACGAUAAGUAUUAGAUCAACAUGUAUUUAUCCACGGAUCAAUUAAAAAAAUGUGAUCUGUAAAAAAAUAAAAGGUCAACCGUGACAGUACUAAAUGGCACAUGAAUAUUUUCUGUUCCAUACUGUAUUUGGAAUUUUUGCGAGAUUGGCAUUAGCCUUUUCUUCCAUUGUGUGUCAAUCAAUUUUUGACAUGAAAACUCCAUGACACUUGAGAUGCAUAUUGUUUAUAUUGUCAAAUUGUUUUGGGAUUUUCUGAAAUACCGUACAUGAUGAACUCAGAUCACAUGGUAACGAACCUAAAUCAUUUAAUUAAGGUUCUUUGAAUCUAAAUCACUUAAUUAAGGUUCUUUGGAUCAUGGGGUUCAGAUAGGCGUAUGGAGGAUGGCAGCUUCGGUGUUACCUACAAAUGACCUUUGAAACAUUUGGUUGAGGUUGGCAAAGACAUAUUAAAUGCAUACUUAUGACCCAAAGGGUGUUGGCUGUCAACACGGCCAGAUUUGAUUUCAUAUUUGCACGAUUCAUAUUCUUUGGUUGUUUGUUGAUGGAUGUCUUGACAUCUUUAUGUCACAUCUAAAUCUUGUCGGUCAUCUUUAUAUGCGGUGUGAUCAUCUUUGUGUCUCGUCGUCCUUUGUUUUAGAUGUGAUGUCCUCUCAUAUUUAUGUCUUAUUUAUCUUCUCUUUUAUAUUUUUUUUCUUUAGUUGUGAUGUCUUGUCACUUUUUGUCUCUCUUUUCUCUUAACUUUCUUCUUUUAGAUGUGGUGUAAUGUCAAAGUGUGUCUUGUCUUUCUCAUAUCUCUUCAUCUUUUUGUUUUGUUAGCAUAGUCCACCUUUUCCUUUCGAUCUCUUAUCACACCUCUUAUCCUGUUGGCCGAGUCUAUAAUGUACCCAUGUCUGCAGAAACGAAUACAUUUCUAAAUCGAUGGUACAUGGUGUAUCCACUGGUAUGAUCGAUGUGGUACAGUGUGAGCAUUUGAGAAGGAAGAAACAUGCAUAACCUUAUGUUGAGUUAUGUGCUAAGAAUCUUAUCUUCACAUAAGAGCAAUCCCAAUGUACUGUAUACAUGUUCAGUCACAACUCCUCCGGUGUUUGAUUUGUAUCUUUGUGUUGUACCUGAACAAUCUCUCAUUUAAUACGUUUUGCAAGAGAAAAAUUACGGGUUUUCUUGAACUUGGCCCUAAGAGAUGUAUGCAGAUAAAGAUACCAUACUCUUCUCUUUCUUAGGGUGUUGCAUUAGACUGGUAUAGAUGACAUACUUAGGGUCCGUUUGGUUCUGCUUUGCUUUUGAGAAAGGCAGCUUUGCCAUUUUUGCUUUCGAAAAGCAGCUUUGCUAGCUUCCUUGUGCUUAGAAAAAGCAUAAGUUUGUUUGGUUCUACUUGCCUUUUCACUUUGCUUUCUCUUCGGCUUCCCCUACCACUCCGUUGCCGAUGCCCCCCUUCCCACCAACCCAGUUGCACCACGGACGCCAGCCUCCAUGGCCCGGGUUGGGUACGAAAAGGAGGACCACGGCCACCGCCGAUGCAAUGGCCACUUCACCGGCUCUGUCUCGGGCGACCUUUGAGCAGCGGCGAGGAACUCGACUCCUCGUGUGGAGGCACAGAGGAACACAAACAACGAUGUCCGUGUUCCUGCA
This 2427-nucleotide long non-coding RNA is filed under the name Brachypodium distachyon (stiff brome). RNAcentral's name for it is "long non-coding RNA (BDIS_LNC001435)". Lineage: Eukaryota; Viridiplantae; Streptophyta; Magnoliopsida; Poales; Poaceae. The record is from RNAcentral.